RNAcentral lists this unclassified non-coding RNA (495 nucleotides) under uncultured Glomeromycotina. RNAcentral describes it as "SSU rRNA". It matches the Rfam family "Eukaryotic small subunit ribosomal RNA", at positions 591 to 1092 of the family's 1831-position model. The record is from RNAcentral. Lineage: Eukaryota; Fungi; Glomeromycota.
CCAAUAGCGUAUAUUAAAGUUGUUGUGGUUAAAAAGCUCGUAGUUGAACCUUGGGCCUGGCUGGCCGGUCCGCCUCACCGCGUGUACUGGUCCGGCCGGGCCUUUCCCUCUGUGGAACCCCAUGCCCUUCACUGGGUGUGGCGGGGAAACAGGACUUUUACUGUGAAAAAAUUAGAGUGCUCCAGGCAGGCCUAUGCUCGAAUACAUUAGCAUGGAAUAAUAGAAUAGGACGUGUGGUUCUAUUUUGUUGGUUUCUAGGACCGCCGUAAUGAUUAAUAGGGACAGUCGGGGGCAUCAGUAUUCAAUUGUCAGAGGUAAAAUUCUUGGAUUUAUUGAAGACUAACUACUGCGAAAGCAUUUGCCAAGGAUGUUUUCAUUAAUCAGGAACGAAAGUUAGGGGAUCGAAGACGAUCAGAUACCGUCGUAGUCUUAACCAUAAACUAUGCCGACUAGGGAUCGGACGGUGUUAUUUUUUGACCCGUUCGGCACCUUACG